CUUACUUUUAUAUUUUAGUUCUCUGAUAUCAUGCAAAGCUAUCCUCUUCAUACCCACAAUGUAGUUUUAUUUUUGUUUCCAGAUGGACGCAAACGCUCGGUGUACGUAGAGUCGUAUCAGUGGUAGAUAGGACUUGAAAGAAUAUUGAUCUUACCUUUAGCUCCUUGUGGGUUCGACACUCCAUACUUAUGUAACGACCCCAUAAUAAGAUUCGAUGUCUAUGUGCUCACUGUGCUAGUCCCUGGAUCAAUAGCUAGCACACACAGUACAAGAUGUAAUAUCAAGAAUAAACCACAUGUCAUAACAUUACAUCAUAGAUCCAGAAUUUAAUAUAAUACAUACCUUCAUAGCUCAAGCUAGCAUACAAAUAAAAUACAGCGAAAAAGCAAAUAAAAUCUUCAUGAAGUC
Aegilops tauschii subsp. strangulata is the source of this 408-nucleotide non-coding RNA. Lineage: Eukaryota; Viridiplantae; Streptophyta; Magnoliopsida; Poales; Poaceae. The record is from RefSeq and is a predicted model, not a curated record.